CCUACGGGUGGCAGCAGUGGGGAAUAUUGGACAAUGGGGGGAACCCUGAUCCAGCCAUGCCGCGUGUGUGAAGAAGGCCCUCGGGCUGUAAAGCACUUUCAGUGAGGAAGAACGCCUGGUGGUUAAUACCCAUCAGGAAAGACAUCACUCACAGAAGAAGCACCGGCUAACUCCGUGCCAGCAGCCGCGGUAAUACGGAGGGUGCGAGCGUUAAUCGGAAUUACUGGGCGUAAAGCGCGCGUAGGUGGCUUGAUAAGCCGGUUGUGAAAGCCCCGGGCUCAACCUGGGAACGGCAUCCGGAACUGUCAAGCUAGAGUGCAGGAGAGGAAGGUAGAAUUCCCGGUGUAGCGGUGAAAUGCGUAGAGAUCGGGAGGAAUACCAGUGGCGAAGGCGGCCUUCUGGACUGACACUGACACUGAGGUGCGAAAGCGUGGGUAGCAAACAGGAUUAGAUACCCUAGUAGUC
This 465-nucleotide ribosomal RNA is filed under the name Vreelandella stevensii. Its description in RNAcentral is "partial 16S ribosomal RNA". It matches the Rfam family "Bacterial small subunit ribosomal RNA", at positions 338 to 795 of the family's 1533-position model. The record is from RNAcentral. Lineage: Bacteria; Pseudomonadati; Pseudomonadota; Gammaproteobacteria; Oceanospirillales; Halomonadaceae.